AUUUGGUUAAUCAAAUUCUCUGGCCAAGAUUAAAUGCAUUCAUCAGUAUUUGCUCGCUUUUGCUGUAACAAUCAGGUCGCCUUACUCCCCAAGUUUGCCUUUCAAGAUGUUCUCCACUGUCCAAGUUAAGUGACAAACGAUCUAGUCUGACAGUAGUCGAUCAUAAAUAACUGCUGAUGAAGAAAUUUGCCAAUGUUCUUAACAAUGUCAUCCUGUUUGCAAGAUUCAGCACUACAGUGGUUAAGCUCAUUA
This 252-nucleotide long non-coding RNA is filed under the name Physcomitrium patens. RNAcentral's name for it is "long non-coding RNA (PPAT_LNC000411)". The record is from RNAcentral. Lineage: Eukaryota; Viridiplantae; Streptophyta; Bryopsida; Funariales; Funariaceae.